UCAGUUCGGAUUGAAGGCUGAAAUUCGCCUUCAUGAAGCCGGAAUUGCUAGUAAUGGCAGGUCAGCAUACUGCCGUGAAUACGUUCCCGGGCCUUGUACACACCGCCCGUCACACCAUGAGAGUUGGGAAUACCCGAAGCCUGUAAGCUAACGUUAAGAGGCAGCAGUCGAAGGUAGAAUCAAUGAUUGGGGUGAAGUCGUAACAAGGUAGC
RNAcentral lists this ribosomal RNA (212 nucleotides) under uncultured bacterium. Its description in RNAcentral is "partial 16S ribosomal RNA". It matches the Rfam family "Bacterial small subunit ribosomal RNA", at positions 1288 to 1500 of the family's 1533-position model. The record is from RNAcentral.